Molecule: non-coding RNA, 31 nt
Filed under: Rattus norvegicus (Norway rat)
Lineage: Eukaryota; Metazoa; Chordata; Mammalia; Rodentia; Muridae
Source: RNAcentral
UGCAUAAGGGAACUAACUCUUCGUAUGCCUU